This is a long non-coding RNA of Anoplophora glabripennis (Asian longhorned beetle), 207 nucleotides long. RefSeq lists it as uncharacterized. Lineage: Eukaryota; Metazoa; Arthropoda; Insecta; Coleoptera; Cerambycidae. The transcript has 2 exons. The record is from RefSeq and is a predicted model, not a curated record.
CCCGUAUCUCGCCAUUUUCUGUUUCUUUGUUUUAUAAGUUUGAAAAGUGGAAAAUGAAAUUUAAAGCUUGUUAAAAUAGUUAAGUGACGUGCAUCAACCACCUGCUGGCAGAACUGGAAUUUCACAAGCACAUUGCACAAAAAAUUGCCCAGAAAAAGAUAAUGGGGAGGGCAUUAAAACAUGUCGCGGCAUGCAAAUGAGAGACUA